This 74-nucleotide transfer RNA is filed under the name Fidelibacterota bacterium. RNAcentral's name for it is "Candidatus Marinimicrobia bacterium tRNA-Met". It matches the Rfam family "tRNA". From Rfam's summary of the family: Transfer RNA (tRNA) molecules are approximately 80 nucleotides in length. Their secondary structure includes four short double-helical elements and three loops (D, anti-codon, and T loops). The record is from RNAcentral. Lineage: Bacteria; Pseudomonadati; Fidelibacterota.
CGCGGGGUGGAGCAGUUUGGUAGCUCGUCGGGCUCAUAACCCGGAGGUCGUAGGUUCAAAUCCUACCCCCGCUA